AAGUAUUCUAGCCAGACGCCUCACUGUGCAAGCGGCAGGCUUGCGUACCAGAAGCCCAGAGAAUAAAGAUGCGAUUGUAGAUGAGGUAGAGAAGAAAGUGUGGCCAGCCAUCGAGCAAGGCAAAGUGAAGCCUGUGGUUUACAAGUAUCUUCCUCUAGCCGAAGCGGCAGAGGGCCACCAGCUCAUGGAAAGCAGCCAGCAUGUCGGGAAGAUUCUACUUGUCACAUGAAGUUGUGGACUUGUAUUGUCCUGUCCAGUUAAGUUGCGUGAGAGGGCCGCUUGUUUAUGUGAAUGAGAAGAAUGCACAGUACCUGUUACAAUCAAAUGGCAGAGACAACUGAAAUAGACUAAAUAACUACCCUGUUCUUCGCUUUUGCUGAGAGAUAUAAAAGCCCUUCGGAGGGAAAAUAGAAGAAAGCUUAGCAACAAGCCAAUCAAAGGAAAUUACUCUUUAUGAAUUACAACCGUUAACUGCAUAGAGUUUCGACGGCCAAAAUCUUUAGGACCAGCAGGCACGGUAUACAUGGAAUUUUAUUCGUUGGACAUAAACAAGGCAAACAAGGAGGGCGUUGGGUUUUUAUAUUUGUAAGUUUUCUCGAGUGAGUUAUUGAGUUAUUGUGAGAUAAUAAAUGUUGAUCUGUUUUGGGCGCAAUUGGAGGCUGGAAAAUACCCGAUUGAUUAGGUGAUUGUAAACUUUGAAUUCUUCGAAUUUGUAGGGGAUUUCUUGGCGUCU
This is a long non-coding RNA of Eucalyptus grandis, 733 nucleotides long. RefSeq lists it as uncharacterized. The record is from RefSeq and is a predicted model, not a curated record. NCBI's taxonomy places the organism in Eukaryota, Viridiplantae, Streptophyta, Magnoliopsida, Myrtales, Myrtaceae. The transcript has 2 exons.